RNAcentral lists this transfer RNA (96 nucleotides) under Yarrowia lipolytica. Its description in RNAcentral is "tRNA-Ile". Lineage: Eukaryota; Fungi; Ascomycota; Dipodascomycetes; Dipodascales. The record is from RNAcentral.
GGUCCCUUGGCCCAGUUGGUUAAGGCGUCGUGCUAAUAAAGAAAUUAGCCCCUUUUGCAAACGCGAAGAUCAGCAGUUCGAUCCUGCUAGGGACCA